GAUGAACGCUGGCGGCGUGCUUAACACAUGCAAGUCGAACGGAAAGGCUCCUGCUUGCAGGGGUACUCGAGUGGCGAACGGGUGAGUAACACGUGUGUGAUCUGCCCUGCACUUCGUGAUAAGCCUGGGAAACUGGGUCUAAUACCGGAUAGAACGAUUGUUUGGAUGCCAUUGUGGAAAGUUUUUCGGUGUGGGAUUAGCUCGCGGCCUAUCAGCUUGUUGGUGGGGUAAUGGGUUAACAAGGCGUCGACGGGUAGCCGGCCUGGGAGGGUGUGCGGCCACAUUGGGACUGAGAGAAGGCACAGACACCGAAGGGUGGGAGAUGGGGGGAAGAUUGAACAAGGGGCGCAAGCCUGAUGCAGAGACGCCGCGUGGGGGAUGACGGUCUUAGGGUUGUAGACUAAUUGCGCUAGGGACGAAGCGUGUUGUGACGGUACCUGGAGAAGAAGCACCGGCUAACUACGUG
This 466-nucleotide ribosomal RNA is filed under the name uncultured bacterium. RNAcentral's name for it is "partial 16S ribosomal RNA". It matches the Rfam family "Bacterial small subunit ribosomal RNA", at positions 28 to 507 of the family's 1533-position model. The record is from RNAcentral.